This 466-nucleotide ribosomal RNA is filed under the name Vreelandella stevensii. RNAcentral describes it as "partial 16S ribosomal RNA". It matches the Rfam family "Bacterial small subunit ribosomal RNA", at positions 338 to 795 of the family's 1533-position model. The record is from RNAcentral. Lineage: Bacteria; Pseudomonadati; Pseudomonadota; Gammaproteobacteria; Oceanospirillales; Halomonadaceae.
CCUACGGGAGGCUGCAGUGGGGAAUAUUGGACAAUGGGCGAAAGCCUGAUCCAGCCAUGCCGCGUGUGUGAAGAAGGCCUUCGGGUUGUAAAGCACUUUCAGUGGGGAAGAAAGCCUUGGGGCUAAUACCCUCGAGGAAGGACAUCACCCACAGAAGAAGCACCGGCUAACUCCGUGCCAGCAGCCGCGGUAAUACGGAGGGUGCGAGCGUUAAUCGGAAUUACUGGGCGUAAAGCGCGCGUAGGCGGUCUGAUAAGCCGGUUGUGAAAGCCCCGGGCUCAACCUGGGAACGGCAUCCGGAACUGUCAGGCUAGAGUGCAGGAGAGGAAGGUAGAAUUCCCGGUGUAGCGGUGAAAUGCGUAGAGAUCGGGAGGAAUACCAGUGGCGAAGGCGGCCUUCUGGACUGACACUGACGCUGAGGUGCGAAAGCGUGGGUAGCAAACAGGAUUAGAUACCCCGGGUAGUC